UACAGAGGGGGCAAGCGUUGUUCGGAAUUACUGGGCGUAAAGGGCGCGUAGGCGGCCUGCUAAGUCGAACGUGAAAUCCCCGAGCUCAACUCGGGAACUGCGUCCGAUACUGGCAGGCUUGAAUCCGGGAGAGGGAUGCGGAAUUCCAGGUGUAGCGGUGAAAUGCGUAGAUAUCAAGAGGAACACCAGUGGCGAAGGCGAGUCCCUGGACAACACCUGACACUGAGGCACGAAAGCUAGGGGAGCAAACAGG
Molecule: ribosomal RNA, 253 nt
Filed under: uncultured bacterium
Lineage: Bacteria
Description: partial 16S ribosomal RNA
Rfam family: Bacterial small subunit ribosomal RNA
Source: RNAcentral